UUCAGUGGUUAUGGCGGAGGGGGUACACCCGAUCCCAUUCCGAACUCGGAAGUUAAGCCCUCCAGCGCCGAUGGUACUGCCCUGUAGAGGGUGGGAGAGUAGGUCGCCGCUGAAC
This is a ribosomal RNA of Coriobacteriaceae bacterium EMTCatB1, 115 nucleotides long. Lineage: Bacteria; Bacillati; Actinomycetota; Coriobacteriia; Coriobacteriales; Coriobacteriaceae. The record is from Rfam.